RNAcentral lists this ribosomal RNA (497 nucleotides) under uncultured bacterium. RNAcentral describes it as "partial 16S ribosomal RNA". It matches the Rfam family "Bacterial small subunit ribosomal RNA", at positions 28 to 507 of the family's 1533-position model. The record is from RNAcentral.
GAUGAACGCUGGCGGCGUGCCUAAUACAUGCAAGUCGAGCGAACGGACGAGAAGCUGGCGCGUCUGAUGUUAGCGGCGGACGGGUGAGGCACACGUGGAUAACAUAACUAUACGACUGGGAUAAUUUCGGGAAACCGGAUCUAAUGCCGGAUAAUAUUUUGAACCGCAUGGUUCCAGAGUGAAAGUCGGUCUUUCUGUCACUUAUAGAUGGAUACGCGCUGCAUUAGUUAGUUGGUAAGGUAACGGCUUACCCAAGCAACGAUGCAUAGCCGACCUCAGCGCGUCGUCCGACACCCUGGAACUGAGACUGAGUCGCGACUCCUACGCGGAGACGCAGUAGGGAAUCUUCCGCGAUGCGGGAGAGCCUGACAGAGCAACGCCGCCUGAGUGAUGAAGGUCUUCUGAUCGGAAAGCUCUGUUGUUCGGGAGGAACAUAAGUGUAAGUAACUGUGCACAUCUUGACGGUACCGGGACAAAAAGCCCCGGCUAACUACGUG